GGAGAGUACCAGCCUUCUCCUCCAUCAGCAGAAGGUGACACACAGCAGCUGAAGGGAGAGUACCAGCCUUCACUUCCAUCAGCAGAAGGUGACACACAGCAGCUGAAGGGAGAGAACCAGUCUUCACUUCCAUCAGCAGGUGACACACUGCAGCUAAAGGGAGAGUACCAACCGUCCCCUCCAUCAGCAGGCGCAACACAGCAGCUGAAGGGAGAGCGUCCACACCCGUCCGUUGCUCCUGUACAUCAUCAUCCAGCGGUUCGGCCCCCACCUAAGCCACCCCCGUCUGUGUGAAUCAACUGGGAGACUGUGCUUCCGGGUCAACACGACGGUCACCCACAGAACUUUGUUUUAUAGACAAAACAGAACUCACGCUCAACGUUUUCUCAAGGUCAACACAGAACCCUCUAGAGUUAUAC
Long non-coding RNA from Branchiostoma floridae (Florida lancelet), 419 nucleotides. RefSeq lists it as uncharacterized. The transcript has 2 exons. Lineage: Eukaryota; Metazoa; Chordata; Leptocardii; Amphioxiformes; Branchiostomatidae. The record is from RefSeq and is a predicted model, not a curated record.